Molecule: ribosomal RNA, 184 nt
Filed under: uncultured Staphylococcus sp.
Lineage: Bacteria; Bacillati; Bacillota; Bacilli; Caryophanales; Staphylococcaceae
Description: partial 16S ribosomal RNA
Rfam family: Bacterial small subunit ribosomal RNA
Source: RNAcentral
GGAACGGCUAUACACGGAUGAUAUUUUGAACCGCAUGGUUCAAAAGUGAAAGACGGUCUUGCUGUCACCUAUAGAUGGAUCCGCGCUGCAUUAGCUAGUUGGUAAGGUAACGGCUUACCAAGGCAACGAUGCAUAGCCGACCUGAGAGGGUGAUCGGCCACACUGGAACUGAGACACGGUCCAG